UCUUUAACUCUCCAUGUCAAUAAAGUUAGAUUUCUCUGUAUCGGUUGAGUUUGUGAACUUUUCUUACAAAAUUUAAAUGUCAAUAUAAAAGGAAAUAAGAAUUUCUUACGAGAAAUGCUUACGUAAUAGAUGGUACUGAUUUAAAGACUGGGCAUUUGAAAAAAUGUCGAAUUAUCAAGUCACAUACUUAUACAUACGGAGGUAAUAUUCGAGAGGUUAGGAAUGUGAAUAUAAACGUAUUUACAAAUGAAUUUUGUGACGCUUCUACCAUUAAAACUUUCGUCGAAGAAUUUAUCCAUGAUGAUCAGGAAAAAAUUGCACGUGAAAUUGAAUAUCCCGACGUUGCUGAUCAUGCUGUUGAUUGUCUUCUUAUGUAUACGUUAUUUGCCUUCCACAAAGUGUUCCCUGAACGAGCAAGAAGUAAGGAACAAGACAAAAUUCAGACUCAUAGUACUCAUACUGUCUAGUCCUGAUAACUUAGAACGAAGGGCAACAAUCAGGAAAACAUGGCUGGCUCAGAAGCAAGCCACGGUUAAGCAUUUCUUUGUAAUAGGAACUUUAGAUAUAUUGCCAGAGCAAAGAGAAACUCUGCAUUCUGAACAGCAGAAAUUUGAUGAUUUACUAUUAUUAUCAAGACUACCAGAUUCUUAUGGGACUCUAACAAAGAAAGUUUUAUACGCAUUCAAGGAAAUCUAUGAAUACUAUGAAUUUGACUUUGUGAUGAAAUGCGAUGAUGAUACAUUUGCCCUGGUACAUAAGAUUUUAAAAGAGCUAGAUAAGUGGGACAGCAAAGGCACAAAAAAGGAACUAUAUUGGGGAUUUUUUAAUGGAAAGGCACAUGUCAAAAGGAGUGGACCAUGGAAAGAGGCAGAUUGGAUAUUAUGUGAUUAUUAUCUUCCUUAUGCGCUUGGAGGAGGAUAUAUUUUAUCUUAUAAUUUAGUAAAAUUUAUUGCUAUAAAUGCAGACAUUUUAAAAUUGUACAAAGCAGAAGAUGUGUCUGUUGGUGUUUGGAUAGCACCUUUGGCAAAUAUUGAAAGAAAACACGACAUACGUUUUAACACAGAAUACAGAUCGCGUGGAUGUUCUAAUCAGUAUAUAGUUACACAUAAACAGACCAUUGAAAACAUGAAAAAUAUGCAUGAAUAUUAUCAAGCAUCUGGAGUAUUAUGUAUAAAAGAAAUAAGAAAUCACAUGAGCUACCAAUAUAAUUGGACAGUUCCACCUAGUCAAUGUUGCAAUUUACGAUCAGGCAUUCCAUAGUAAUCAAAUCUCUUCUUUUCAUACAUCUGAUAUUCUAGUCAUUUCUUCAUUUUAAAUUGUUAUGCAAAUUUGUACUCAACCACUAAAUUUAUUAGUAAUUACUCUCAUAAAUUUUUUAUUUAUUUAUCAAACAUGAUUAUAAUAAUUCAAUCUAAAUAACGAGAUGCUUCAUAGUUUUCAUAGUUAGUUAAUCAAGAAAUGAAUAACGAUAAAUGAGUUUUGUAGUUAAUCCAACGCAUGCAAAGUGGAACCAUUCUAUAGGACACUAUACCAAAAGAGAAUAUUGUUAAAAGAUUACAAAUAUUUAAAGAGAUAUUUGAGAUAAUAUACACUUACGUCUGGAUUAUCACAACCAAUCAUUUCUCCAUAAGAAACUUGAUGACACAGACAAUAAGUUGGUUCAUUAGGAUCUACUGGCAUGUCUAAAACAUCUGCUGGAUGGCCAAGUGCAGUAGAAUCUACUUGAGCACCACUUCCAACAGCCCCAGCUGACGAAGCAGAAGCAACAGAUCCUCCUGAAAUUAUGUUCAAUGAAUUAUAAUCUUUUCAUGAAUAUAGAUGAAACACAAUAUCAACUAA
Bombus terrestris (buff-tailed bumblebee) is the source of this 1839-nucleotide RNA transcript. It is a transcript of the gene named beta-1,3-galactosyltransferase 6, with no coding region annotated. The transcript is spliced from 3 exons. The record is from RefSeq and is a predicted model, not a curated record. Lineage: Eukaryota; Metazoa; Arthropoda; Insecta; Hymenoptera; Apidae.